This is a long non-coding RNA of Acipenser ruthenus (sterlet), 1066 nucleotides long. RefSeq lists it as uncharacterized. The transcript has 3 exons. The record is from RefSeq and is a predicted model, not a curated record. Lineage: Eukaryota; Metazoa; Chordata; Actinopteri; Acipenseriformes; Acipenseridae.
GUCAAGCCUCUCCGGGUUUAAAACUGCUGUUCAGCGUCAUCUGCGUUUGAGUGUGCGAUAUUGGUAUCCAUAUUUCAGCUUGUGUCCCUACAGCACCUUGAUGCAACAUAAACAAAUGGGACUGUCAACAAGGGCUGCUUUCUGAUGACGUGAGGACCUCGAGAGCGGAUGUCUGCAGGCUACCGGCCUCUGGAGGACAAAGACCAGCCCUGCAAAUCUCCGCCCCCAAACUCACUCAGCGCCUGGCCUGUAGGGGUCGCUGCAGAGCGGUGAAGAGAAGCUGGAUCCCACCUCCCCAACCCCGGGAGUGCCAAAGCCAAUGGGGCUCCCCCCCAGUGAAGACCGGCUGCCUCGCACAACCAGGACUCGAACUUCGAUUGCAAUCUCUGGUUGUAUGACUCAACUUUAAUAUAUUUAUAAAUUACAUUGAUAAAGAUAUAUUUGAAUAAAACAUUUAGCUCAUGGCAUACUGUGGCAAAGUGGUAAUGACGUGCAGGUGAGUGCAGUGCAGAAGAAUCACACAGACAACGUUGGUACAGGUGCAAGGGUGUUUAUUUAAUUUAAUAAAUGUCCAGAGCCUUAAGGCAAAACCUGCAAAUAAUAAUAGUGCUGGAAGUGAUACAGCGGCGUGUAUCACUUCUAUUUGUAAAUCCUACGGGUUUGCGUGGUGAAGUCCGGGUUUUUCGCUGGCCGGCGGCUGCAGCUCCGGAUCGUGCUCAGUAAUCUUUGUGAGAAACGACACACAAGACAAACAGUGUAAAUACACAGACAAGCAAUCACUCACGGUUUUUAGCACAAACAAGACGGGCUCCUUCUAGGUUAUUUGGUUUAACCAUCUGCAAAGGAACAGAUCACUCAAGCCAUGCCCCCUAUUUAUACCCUCGCCCAUGACCCCGAGGUUAACGAGCGCAUCCGCUCUUCCAGUCCUCGGAUGCCACGCCGCUUACCGUCUGGGUCACUGAGCUCGGGUGCCAUGGCUCCGCCCCCUUCCGAACUGACCGACUUCCAUCUACCCUACGGAAUAAAUUGUCGUGCCAUUUCAUUAAGGGUACUCUGUUCCUUGUAU